GCGCUAGUCGUAUAGUGGUAGUACGCAGCCUUGCCAAGGCUGUAGCGCGGGUUCAAUCCCCGCCUAGCGCA
This 71-nucleotide transfer RNA is filed under the name Candidatus Aenigmatarchaeota archaeon. RNAcentral describes it as "tRNA-Gly". It matches the Rfam family "tRNA". From Rfam's summary of the family: Transfer RNA (tRNA) molecules are approximately 80 nucleotides in length. Their secondary structure includes four short double-helical elements and three loops (D, anti-codon, and T loops). Lineage: Archaea; Nanobdellati; Candidatus Aenigmatarchaeota. The record is from RNAcentral.